GAUGAACGCUGGCGGCGUGCUUAACACAUGCAAGUCGAACGGAAAGGCCCAAGCUUGCUUGGGUACUCGAGCGGCGAACGGGUGAGUAACACGUGGGUGAUCUGCCCUGCACUUCGGGAUAAGCCUGGGAAACUGGGUCUAAUACCGGAUAGGACGAUGGUUUGGAUGCCAUUGUGGAAAGUUUUUUCGGUGUGGGAUGAGCUCGCGGCCUAUCAGCUUGUUGGUGGGGUAAUGGCCUACCAAGGCGUUGACGGGUAGCCGGCCUGAGAGGGUGUACGGCCACAUUGGGACUGAGAUACGGCCCAGACUCCUACGGGAGGCAGCAGUGGGGAAUAUUGCACAAUGGGCGCAAGCCUGAUGCAGCGACGCCGCGUGGGGGAUGACGGCCUUCGGGUUGUAAACUCCUUUCGCUAGGGACGAAGCGUUUUGUGACGGUACCUGGAGAAGAAGCACCGGCUAACUACGUG
Molecule: ribosomal RNA, 467 nt
Filed under: uncultured bacterium
Lineage: Bacteria
Description: partial 16S ribosomal RNA
Rfam family: Bacterial small subunit ribosomal RNA
Source: RNAcentral